CCAGCUUUGUUCAGAUCACCUACUGAAAUGCGCAUCACCUUCAAAAUCUGGGCUGUGAGCGUUUUUAGUCUCUGCUUCUGCUUGUAUUUUUUUCCCCUAUACCUUUUGUGAAGAUUUGGCAUAGAUUUGCAUUAACAAGAAUUACUCUUCCAGAGAAAAGUUCAGACUCUGAAGCAUUCUCUAAAGUUUAGCAAAUGGAAAAGACAGAACCAGUGCUAUCCACGUGACCAUAAGAAGGCUUCAGUUCUGGUGACAGAGAGGUUUGGCAGAGACGUUUGCUCCCUGAGAGAGUCGUUCUCUUAGGAAUCUGCAGAUGUGUCUCAGAAGGGUCAGUGGAUCUUAACCUGACCCAGGAUUUAUUAACUGAGAACGUCUGUCCACUUCAUCAUUCAUCUCCAAUGGCUGUACACAGCCUCCUGCAUUGAUUUCUUUGAAUCCAUUGUAUCAAUAGCAAUAAAGAAAUAUUAUAAUGGAAUGGACUGAUCAUCUUUUUCUCAACUGGAUUAUGUUAAAAUAUAAAUGAAGAUGAUGAUCCAUCAGUACAUGACCGUAGAGCAAAUGAAAUCCUAUACGAUAUGACAGAUAAUGAAAACCUUCAUAAAGAAAUUGUCCAGCAAAUAAAUCGAAAGGUUAAUCAAGAAAAGUGGCUAGGCAAAAAAACAAUUCUAAGAGAGAAUACUCUGCUUUAGGAAGCUUCAGAUGACAUCAAUGGUCUAGGAAAAUUCUGGCAAACUUUUAAAAUAAAAUGCUUAAACCUUUCUAUGUGUAAUGCUAUGUGAUUAAGCCUUCUGCAGCCAGUAAACUUGCCGCACAUUCUAGUCUUGAUUGCUUUAUGAUUUGUGUCUAGAUGAGCUGAAGAAACAGCAUUCUAAAACAUUU
Molecule: non-coding RNA, 879 nt
Organism: Vicugna pacos (alpaca)
Lineage: Eukaryota; Metazoa; Chordata; Mammalia; Artiodactyla; Camelidae
Source: RefSeq, a predicted model, not a curated record